GAUGAACGCUGGCGGCGUGCCUAAUACAUGCAAGUCGAGCGAACAGAUGAGGAGCUUGCUCCUCUGACGUUAGCGGCGGACGGGUGAGUAACACGUGGAUAACCUACCUAUAAGACUGGGAUAACUUCGGGAAACCGGAGCUAAUACCGGAUAAUAUAUUGAACCGCAUGGUUCAAUAGUGAAAGACGGUUUUGCUGUCACUUAUAGAUGGAUCCGCGCCGCAUUAGCUAGUUGGUAAGGUAACGGCUUACCAAGGCAACGAUGCGUAGCCGACCUGAGAGGGUGAUCGGCCACACGGGAACUGAGACACGGUACAGACACCUACGGGAGGCAGCAGUAGGGAAUCUUCCGCAAUGGGCGAAAGCCUGACGGAGCAACGCCGCGUGAGUGAUGAAGGUCUUCGGAUCGUAAAACUCUGUUAUUAGGGAAGAACAAAUGUGUAAGUAACUAUGCACGUCUUGACGGUACCUAAUCAGAAAGCCACGGCUAACUACGUG
RNAcentral lists this ribosomal RNA (497 nucleotides) under uncultured bacterium. Its description in RNAcentral is "partial 16S ribosomal RNA". It matches the Rfam family "Bacterial small subunit ribosomal RNA", at positions 28 to 507 of the family's 1533-position model. The record is from RNAcentral.